CGCUGGCGGCGUGCUUAACACAUGCAAGUCGAACGAGACGAUUUUAAGCUUGCUUAGAUGAGUCGAGUGGCAAACGGGUGAGUAACGCGUAGACAACCUGCCGCAAAGGAUGGGGACAACAGUCCGAAAGGACUGCUAAUACCGAAUGCUGUCAGAUUCCCGCAUGGGAGACUGAUUUAAAGAUGGCCUCUACUUGUAAGCUAUCGCUUUUGCGAUGGGUCUGCGUCUGAUUAGCUAGUUGGUGGGGUAACGGCCUACCAAGGCGACGAUCAGUAGCCGGUCUGAGAGGAUGAACGGCCACAUUGGAACUGAGACACGGUCCAGACUCCUACGGGAGGCAGCAGUGGGGAAUCUUCCGCAAUGGGCGAAAGCCUGACGGAGCAACGCCGCGUGAGUGAAAAGAAGGGUUUCGGCUCGUAAAGCUCUGUUGACGGGGACGAACGUGCGAGAUGCGAAUAGUUUCUUGCAAUGACGGUACCCGUCGAGGAAGCCACGGCUAACUACGUGCCAGCAGCCGC
This 518-nucleotide ribosomal RNA is filed under the name uncultured bacterium. Its description in RNAcentral is "bacterial SSU rRNA". It matches the Rfam family "Bacterial small subunit ribosomal RNA", at positions 34 to 518 of the family's 1533-position model. The record is from RNAcentral.